GCAAUUUCGGGUCUUACCAUGCAAGUCGGACGAGGAUCAUCGGGUUAGCAAUAAUUCGGCGGUCCUAGUGGCGUACGGGUGAGUAACACGUGGGUAACCUGCCCUUGAGACCGGGAUACCCUCUCGAAAGGGAGGCUAAUACUGGAUACGUUCCCCGGGGCGCAAGACCUGGGGAGGAAAAGGUGGCGAAAGCUGCCGCUCUUGGAGGGGCUCGCGGCCUAUCAGCUAGUUGGUGAGGUAACGGCUCACCAAGGCUAUGACGGGUAGCUGGUCUGAGAGGACGACCAGCCACACGGGAACUGAGACACGGUCCCGACUCCUACGGGAGGCAGCAGUGGGGAAUUUUCCGCAAUGGGCGAAAGCCUGACGGAGUGACGCCGCGUGGGGGACGAAGGCCUUCGGGUUGUAAACCCCUGUCAGAGGGAAAGAAGGGUGCUGGCGUGAAUAGCGCUGGCAUCUGACGGUACCUUCAGAGGAAGCCCCGGCCAACUCUGUGCCAGCAGCCGCGGUAAGACAGAGGGGGCAAGCGUUGCUCGGAAUCACUGGGCGUAAAGGGCGCGUAGGCGGGAUGGCAAGUCGGUCGUGAAAUCCUUCGGCUCAACCGAAGAACGUCGGCCGAUACUGCCGUUCUUGAGGGAUGCAGAGGAGAUUGGAAUUCCCGGUGUAGCGGUGAAAUGUGUAGAGAUCGGGAGGAACACCGGUGGCGAAGGCGGGUCUCUGGGCAUCUCCUGACGCUGAGGCGCGAAAGCGUGGGGAGCAAACGGGAUUAGAUACCCCGGUAGUCCACGCUGUAAACGAUGACGACUAGGUGUGGGGGGGGGUUAGUCCUUUCCGUGCCGCAGCUAACGCAUUAAGUCGUCCGCCUGGGGAGUACGGCCGCAAGGUUGAAACUCAAAGGAAUUGACGGGGGCCCGCACAAGCGGUGGAGCAUGUGGGUUCAAUUCGAUGCAGAGCGAAGGACCUUACCUGGGCUUGACAUGCUGGAAGUAGAAACCCGGAAAGGGGGACGACC
This 1012-nucleotide ribosomal RNA is filed under the name uncultured bacterium. RNAcentral describes it as "bacterial SSU rRNA". It matches the Rfam family "Bacterial small subunit ribosomal RNA", at positions 39 to 1017 of the family's 1533-position model. The record is from RNAcentral.